This 750-nucleotide ribosomal RNA is filed under the name uncultured bacterium. RNAcentral describes it as "bacterial SSU rRNA". It matches the Rfam family "Bacterial small subunit ribosomal RNA", at positions 61 to 821 of the family's 1533-position model. The record is from RNAcentral.
GUCGAACGGUGUCUUCGGACAUAGUGGCGCACGGGUGCGUAACACGUAUGCAACCUACCUUACAUUGGGGGAUAGCCUUUCGAAAGGGAGAUUAAUACCGCAUAAGACAGUAACUUGGCAUCAAGUAGCUGUUAAAGAUUUAUCGAUGUAAGCUGGGCAUGCGUCCAAUUAGCUAGUUGGUGAGGUAAUGGCUCACCAAGGCUAUGAUUGGUAGGGGAACUGAGAGGUCAAUCCCCCACACUGGCACUGAGAUACGGGCCAGACUCCUACGGGAGGCAGCAGUAGGGAAUAUUGGGCAAUGGACGCAAGUCUGACCCAGCCAUGCCGCGUGCAGGAUGAAGGCGUUAUGCGUUGUAAACUGCUUUUAUACAGGAAGAAACGACUCUUGCGAGAGGCAUUGACGGUACUGUAUGAAUAAGCACCGGCUAACUCCGUGCCAGCAGCCGCGGUAAUACGGAGGGCGCAAGCGUUGUCCGGAUUUAUUGGGUUUAAAGGGUGCGCAGGUGGUUCAUUAAGUCAGUGGUGAAAGACGGUCGCUCAACGAUUGCAGUGCCAUUGAAACUGGUAGACUUGGGUAAAGUAGAGGUGGGCGGAAUUGAUAGUGUAGUGGUGAAAUGCAUAGAUAUUAUCAAGAACUCCAAUUGCGUAGGCAGCUCACUUGGCUUUUACUGACACUCAUGCACGAAAGUGUGGGUAUCAAACAGGAUUAGAUACCCUGGUAGUCCACACUGUAAACGAUGAUAACUAGGU